AUUACUUUUCGGAGUAGAUGGCGACCGGCGCACGGGUGCGUAACGCGUAUGCAACCUACCCUAAACUGUAGGAUAGCCCGGAGAAAUCCGGAUUAAUACUACAUGGUACUAUAAUAUGGCAUCAUAUAGUAGUUAAAGAUUUAUUGGUUUAGGAUGGGCAUGCGUGACAUUAGCUAGUUGGUACGGUAACGGCGUACCAAGGCGACGAUGUCUAGGGGUUCUGAGAGGAAGAUCCCCCACACUGGUACUGAGACACGGACCAGACUCCUACGGGAGGCAGCAGUGAGGAAUAUUGGUCAAUGGGCGAGAGCCUGAACCAGCCAUGCCGCGUGCAGGAAGACGGCCUUCUGGGUUGUAAACUGCUUUUAUACGGGAGCAAAAAGGUCCUGCGGGACAAAUUGAGAGUAUCGUAUGAAUAAGCACCGGCUAACUCCGUGCCAGCAGCCGCGGUAAUACGGAGGGUGCAAGCGUUGUCCGGAUUUAUUGGGUUUAAAGGGUGCGUAGGCGGCGUAAUAAGUCAGUGGUGAAAGCCGGCAGCUCAACUGUCGAGGUGCCAUUGAAACUGUUAUGCUUGAGUACAGACGAGGUAGGCGGAAUUUAUGAUGUAGCGGUGAAAUGCAUAGAUAUCAUAAAGAACACCGAUAGCGAAGGCAGCUUACUAGGCUGUAACUGACGCUGAGGCACGAAAGCGUGGGGAGCGAACAGGAUUAGAUACCCUGGUAGUCCACGCUGUAAACGAUGAUGACUCGAUGUUGGCGAUAUUACAGUCAGCGUCCUAGCGAAAGCGUUAAGUCAUCCACC
RNAcentral lists this ribosomal RNA (801 nucleotides) under uncultured bacterium. RNAcentral's name for it is "bacterial SSU rRNA". It matches the Rfam family "Bacterial small subunit ribosomal RNA", at positions 72 to 873 of the family's 1533-position model. The record is from RNAcentral.